Molecule: ribosomal RNA, 207 nt
Filed under: uncultured bacterium
Lineage: Bacteria
Description: partial 16S ribosomal RNA
Rfam family: Bacterial small subunit ribosomal RNA
Source: RNAcentral
CGCGCAGGCGGCCAGGUCAGUCGAAUGUGAAAGCCCCCGGCUCAACUGGGGAAGGUCGUUCGAUACUGCCUGGCUCGAAGGUAGGAGAGGGAAGUGGAAUUUCAGGUGUAGUGGUGAAAUGCGUAGAUAUCUGAAGGAACACCAGUGGCGAAGGCGACUUUCUGGCCUAUUCUUGACGCUGAGGCGCGAAAGCUAGGGGAGCGAACG